UGUGGGAGGGGGCUUGCUCCCGAUAGCAAAGUGUCAGUCACUGCAUUUAUGACUGAUUCACCGCCAUCGGGAGCAAGCCCCCUCCCACA
Molecule: unclassified non-coding RNA, 89 nt
Filed under: Pseudomonas poae
Lineage: Bacteria; Pseudomonadati; Pseudomonadota; Gammaproteobacteria; Pseudomonadales; Pseudomonadaceae
Source: RNAcentral